This is a non-coding RNA of Nicotiana tabacum (common tobacco), 1521 nucleotides long. NCBI's taxonomy places the organism in Eukaryota, Viridiplantae, Streptophyta, Magnoliopsida, Solanales, Solanaceae. The record is from RefSeq and is a predicted model, not a curated record.
AAGCAUAAAGAAGCAGAAAUGAAAAAAACAGAGCGGUAACUCAUGAGACGACUGGCCGGGUCAUUACACUUUCACACCAGAUGUAGCACAUGCUGGCGUUAUUGGUGAGAUUGCAGAUGCGGCGGCAGGGGAGUCGGAGGAAGAAUCUGAGAAACAAAAAGUUCCUGAAUCCUGGACUGGUGUUGUUUGUGCAACUGCAAGUGUUGAUGCGGCGGCAGGGGAGACGGAGGAAGAAUCUGAGAAACAAAAGGUUCCUGAAUCUCGAACUGGUGCUGUUUGUGCGACUGCCAGUGUUGAUGAGGCGGCAGGGGAGAUGGUUUUGUACAAUCCUGAAUUACUUCUUGAAGUAUCGCAGCAAAUGGAAAAAGAAAGAGAUGUCCUGCAAAGGUCGUGCAGUCUCCGUUCAUUACUGUAUUUGAUUCAGGUUCCAGUACUACUGUUGUUGCAGUGAAAGGAAAAAAGCAAAUUUAUGCUAUUAAGCAUCCUUUUCAAAGCAAAAUUGGAACUGGCGUUAACAGCUCUUUGUUGAAUGUAUUUGCUGCGUGGGUCAAAGAAGGGAAGUCCAAAAAAAAGAAUGAAAUUUACCCGAAGCAUGUUAGUGAACUUAAUCAUGCUUAUGAUCUUGGUGUAUAUCAUGUUGAAAACAAAAAAUGGUUUUACACUUUGGCAUAUAAUGGUCAGCCCUUGGAUGACUCGCACAUUGAUGUUUUGUUCUAUUAUCUGAGGAAGAAGGGGAAGUAUGACAAAGACCUACCUGUAACAUUCACCACCACAGAUUGGUACUUUGACGAGAAAAUUAAUGAGUUGUGGUAGGCGUUUAUUGAUACAGAUGGAGACAGUGAUAUGUGCACUCCGAAACAUGUCAUUGCAGAGUAUACUCAGGGGUUUGUCUUGGAUGCCAAUGUUCCAUGGCACACUGUCGAGCAUGUCUUAAUGUUAAUUAAUGUUGCAGAACAAUGGCAAUGGAUAAUGGUUGUGAUGUCCUUCAAGGAUAGGUGCAUUUAUGUGUAUGACUCUAUGCACGGUGGAGCUUCUCAUCAAGCCAAAGUUCAUAAGACCAUGGUCAAGUAUUCUGUGUUGCUGCCUCAUUUUUUCGUGCACACACAUUUCUAUUUAAACAAAAAAGAUAUCAAUUGGCGCACUAGUGUCUACAAAUCAAAAGACUUAGAUUACCCCCUUUGAUGUAAACUGGUCGAAGGAUUGCCUCAACAAGGCGAAGGAUUGCCUCAACAAGUCGAAGCUGAUUGCGGUGUAUUUGCGACAUCAUUUGCCGAGUAUUUCAUUGAGGGCAAGAUGCCUCCUUAAAAAUUCCAUGCCUAUGCACACCGGCGUGGUGCUCUCUUGUGGGAUUAUGCUAGAAAGAAGAUGGAACUGAACACGCAAAGUGAUGAUGAGAUUAUUGGUCGACAGAAUAAGUCGCGGAAGCAAAAGUAGUUACUUUUGUCAUUAUUGUAGGAUGAACUCUAUAAUUUUAUUUUUGUAUUGUGUUCUGUUAUGUUGUCAUUGUUGUAAGACAGAUCA